GGAAACUUUAAGAAAAAUCUGGUAUUGAUUGGCCAAACCUAAAAUUCUGGAAAUUUUAUGGCUGGAAGAUAUACGAGUCUAUAUUCAGGAAAAAUUAACGUAAAGUGAUUUGGAGUUUUGUAGCUCCAGUUAUAAAUUAUUUAGUGACUAUUGCUCAGGAAAAACAGCUUGUGCUGAAUUUGAGAUUGUGUUGUAAACCUUGAUAAACUUGUUCUAGUUGCUCAUAAGCUAUCGAUUAAACCCAUACGUGAAUUCUAAAUUGUGAUAUUGGAAAAUGAUAGAUGUAGAUUCAGCCAAGAGAGUGUAUAUGUGUAAUAAGGCCUAAUGGCCGAUGUGAUGAAUGUGAAAGUGUAUGUAUAUGUGAUAAGGCCUAAUGGCCGAUGUGAUGAAUGUGAAAGUGUAUGUAUAUAUGUGAUAAGGCCUAAUGGCCGAUGUGAUGAAUGUGAAAGUAUAUGUAUAUAUGUAAUAAGGCCUAAUAGCCGAUGUGAUGAAUGUGAAAGUGUAUAUGUGUGAUAAGGCCUAAUAGCCGACGUGAUGAAUGUGAAAGUGUAUCUGUGUGAUAAGGCCUAAUAGCCGAUGUGAUGAAUGUGAAAGUGUAUGUAUAUAUGUAAUAAGGCCUAAUAGCCGAUGUGAUGAAUGUGAAAGUGUAUAUGUGUGAUAAGGCCUAAUAGCCGACGUGAUGAAUGUGAAAGUGUAUAUGUGUGAUAAGGCCUAAUAGCCGAUGUGAUGAAUGUGAAAGUGUAUAUGUAAUAAGGCCUAAUGGCCGACGUGAUGAAUGUGAAAGUGUAUAUAUGUGAUAAGGCCUAAUGGCCGAUGCGAUGAAUGUGAAAGUGUAUAUAUGUGAUAAGGCCUAAUGCCCGAUGUGAUGAAUGUGAAAGUGUAUAUAUGUGACAGGGCCGAGUGGCCAACGUAAUGGAUGUGAAAGUGCAUAAAUGUGAUAAGUCCCGAAAGGCAUUUGUGUCAGUACUAUAUCCGGGUUAAAACCCCGCAGGCUUUAUGCGAGAAUAUUAUCACUGAUUAAUGUCCUUAAGCUUCGUGCUUGUACUAUAUCCGAGCUCUAAAGACCCGAUGACUACGUGUGGGGAUUUUGUCCGGGUAAGACCCGAUAACUUCGUGUGGAGAUUAUGUCCGGGUAAGACUUCGUAAUAAGAAUUGCUUAUAAAUAUAUUCAAUGCGAAAGGUUAAACAGGUAUGUACUUCAAGUUUAUAUGUGAGCUUGAUUUGCACUAAAUCAUAAGGUAGCUAUGUGAUGCAUACGAAAGCAAUCUAUGAGACUAUUCCUAUGAUUAUGUGACAUCGGAUCAGUGUGAGAGGUGAUGUGAAAUCAUAUGAUACAUCUAUGUCACAUGAGCUCACUUUUAUGUGAAAGUUUAUCUGCCUAUUGUAUAUGAUGAGAUGUGCAGAUUCGGUAAAGGGAUGGUAUGCCCGAAGGAAGAGUGAAAUAAAAAUACGAACAACUAUGUUAUAAUUUGAUUGGUAUCUGUUGACACUGCUUAAAACUUACUAAGCAUUGUAAUGCUUACUCCGUUUACUCUGUUUCCUCUGUUUUAUAGAUCUCAUGCGAAGCUACAGGCUCGGGGAUCGUCAGCAACUAGUCACACUAUCACUAUCCACUGUUUGGUACUGCUAUGUUUCGGAUUGUCUUAUGGCAUGUAUAAAAUAGACUAGUGGCGGAAGAAUAUUUUGGUUAAUGUAUAUAGCCAUGCGAAAAUGGCUUAUAUAUGUUUGAGCAUAAUGUUAUAAUCAUUUGGUAUGGAAUGGUUAAUCGCUAUCAUGAUUUGUGCUAUUUAUGCUAAAAGGGCUAGUUGAAUCAUGGAAACUAUGAAAUAGGUAAAGUCUACCUUAAAGGCAGAUGCUGGCAGCAGCAGUGAUGUAGAUUUGGAAAAUCACUAAAAAUAGUAGGAUUGGAAUUAAAUAGUGAAUAAAUUAUGUAAACGAACCUUGAUGAAUCUAUUUUCAUAGGAAAGUAAUGAAAUGAUCAUAUGGACAGUAUGUUAAGAGAUAUUCAGGUUCUCGUGAGAAAGGGCCAGAACGGUUUCUGGAUUCCCUGUUCCGACUUUGGAAAUUCAUUAUAAAUUAACCAGAGAUAAUUAGGAGUCAUUCCAUAUAUUUAUGGAUUUCUCUCUGAGUCUAGUUUCUAUAGAAACAAACGGCAUCAGUAUUGAAUCCCUGUGCAGGGAGAUAUCCAAGUCGUAAUGCGCAAAGGUCAGUGUAGUCGAUCCCUGUAACAUGGGAGACUUUGACUAAUAAACUGUACUAAUUGGCCUGACCAAAAAUUCUAGAAAUAAAUAUGUAGAUGGGAAUAUGAGUCUAGUUUCAGGAAAAAAUUAUGAAACUGAUUUUCAAGUUGUGAAACUCAAGAUAUGAUUUUUAAAGCGACUAGUACGCAGAUUGGCAGUGUCUGGAAAUUUUUUUUUUAUAAGUGGUUAAAGUCUGCUAACACCUUGUGUUCGACUCCGGUGACGGUCUCGGGUUCGGGGUGUUACAUUUGAUUGGUAUCAGAACUACGGUUUAGUCGAUUCUAGGACUAACGUAGCACGCGUGAGUCUAUUUAUACAUGCCAUAAAGUGAUAAAAUGAUAGUGUGAUGAUUUUUUUGGCUAUUAAAAUGUGUUUGCUGUAUUGUAAUGAAACUUGAUCCCGAUCGAGCUGUAGCAAGCUUCUGACUAUGAGAAUUUGCGAUAUAACUUCAUUUAGAUAUGCCUAAAUUAUUAAGUUGAUCAGGUACGUAUCAUGUACUCGUAUUUGAAUUUCGAUUUGGAUUGAAUUAUAUGGGUAUAAGUGAUGCAAUUUUGAAGGAGUGUUAUGACUAUAAAUGUGAUUUUUGUAUGUGGCUAUGGAACUGGAAGUUGAAUGGUCGAUAAGCAUGUUGUGUUUGUAUUCAAGUAACGUAAAUGAUAUACUAAUGUGUAUUGCUAUAUGUGUAUAUGUAUGUAGAGACGAAAUUGUCGAAUGUAAAAAGGCAGUGAAGCGUAUAGAGUGGUUGGUUUUCAGCACUAAGUGUGCGGGCAAUAAGUGUUCACGGUUGUGAGAUUGGCACUAAGUGUGCGGGCAAUAAGUUUUCACGGUUGUGAGAUUGGCUCUAAGUGUGCGGGCAAUAAGUGUUCACGGUUGUGAGAUUGGCACUAAGUGUGCGGGCUUGAAAUGCAUGGCACUAAGUGUGCGAGUUUAAAGUACAUGGCACUAAGUGUGCGUGGUUGAUUAUUAAGCACUAUGUGUGCGAACCCACUAUAUAUAUACAUAUUUUCUAUCAAUUAUUUAUAUUAAGGGUGCGACCUUACCGAGUCGAUUUCGGACAGCGGAAAGGGGUAAGUUCUUGAGUAAUAGAGCUUAAAUUAUGAUUUGAUUAGAUCAUGUUUUAAGCAAAUCAAAAUCAUGCUCUUUGUGUGUGGCUAUUGAGCCGAAAUUGCAAGAAUGAUAAGUGUCUUGUGUUUGAGUUUUGCUAACGAAAAUAAAAUACGAAUGUGCCAUGAUUUGUUGUUAAAUGUGCAUGGUUAUUUGAAUGAUGUCCGGGCUAAGUCCCGAAGGCUUUGUGCUAAGUGACCAUAUCCGGACUAAGACCCGAAGGCAUUGGUGCGAGUUACUAAAUCCGGGCUAAGUCCCGAAGAGCAUUCAUGCUAGUGAUGUAUCCGGGCUAAGUCCCGAAGAGCAUUCAUGCUAGUGAUGUAUCCGGGCUAAGUUCCGAAGAGCAUUCGUGCUAGUGAUAUAUCCGUGCUAAACCCCGAAGAGCAUUCGUGCUGGUGUUAUGUCCGGGUUAGGUCCUGAAGAGCAAUCAUGCUGGUGACGUGUAUUCGGGCCUUCGUGCCUAGUAGGCUUCGUGCCGGUAAUUUGAGCAAAGUUUAAGUAUUCAUUACUAUACGAAUUCAAAUUUAAAUGAGAUGAUAUGUUUAAAAGUGUUCAUACAUGAUGUUUAUAGACUUGGUUAAGUCAUUUCAAUGUGUAACAACGAAUGAAUAAGAGCACUAUGUGUGUGAAUGAUUAGAGGCACUGUGUGUGUGCGAAUUCCUUUAACCGAGCACUAUGAGUGCGAGAUCGGUCAGUGGGCACUAAGUGUGUGAAGUGGAAUUCAUGUAAGACCUCGUUUGGGACGAAGGCAUUGAUUUGAGAUAGUGUGUAAGACCAUGUCUGGGACAUGGCAUCGGCUCGAUAUGUGAGAAUAUGUAAGACCAUAUCUAGGAUAUGGCAUUGUAAGAGCUAUAUGUACUAUUGCUGAAUGGACACUAUUUUGUUAAUCUUGUUUAAGAAAUUAUUUUGAUUAAGUUUCGACAUUCGAAAGUUUGAAAGAAUUUUUGAUGAAUGUUGAUAAUUUUUGAUAUACGAGUUAUGUGCUAGAAUAAAUCUCAUGCCAGUGUAUUAUAUUAGGCUUUAUGCCUAUUCGACUGUAUACGGGUAACGUUAACUAUGAUUGAAUGUGCUAAAUGAACUAAAUGUUCAGGUACGUGGAAGUUGACUUUUCUUUUGGAAAUGAGUUAAGUUGAAUAUUGAGAUGUGAUAAAGUUAUAAAGGAUAUUUAUUGGGAUGUUUGAGUAUAUGUGUACUUUCGGUUAGGUUACAGCUUAUUCAUGAAUGAAAAUGUGGGUUACAAAUAUGUGGGUUGAUGAUGUGAAUUAUACAUGUUAAUAUGUGUUUGAAAUGCAUUUCUGAAUUAAGUUAAGUGAUUAUUGCUUAUGAAAUCAAGAAAAUGAGAUAUUUGUGCAUAAUUGUAGAAAUGUUUAUGUAUUUGUUUUAAGAUAAGAAAAUGAUUUUAUAGACCGAUGCAAAAUCAAUAAUGAAUUACAAUUGCUAUCAAUGAGCUAAUGUCUUUGUGGAUAUAAUUCAAUAAGAGGACGUUAUCCUAAACUAUGCAUCGGUAGAAAUUUUCGGGGACGAAAAUUUCUUAAGGGGUGAGAGUUGUGACACCCCUAAAGUGACCCUAGUCGGAAAGUGGUUUCGGGACCACUAAACCGAGUCAUAAAGAUAAUUAACCGUCAUAGUUGAUGCUCAUUAUAUGUACAUAUGCAUGUGUGAAAAUUUCAUGUUUGAAUUUUGUUAAUGGUAAGUGAAUUUUAUCAAAUAGGACUUAUGUGAGAAAAUUUGGAAAUGUGCUAGGCAAAUGUAAAGUGGCCUAAUAAUGCAUGUUGUGAAAUGAUGGGUUUGCAUGUCAAAUUCCCCACUUUAGAGGAAGUGGCCGGCCAUGAGGGUAUGGGAUACAAAGCAUAUGCAUUUUGUAUUAAUAUUAUAAUGACUACAUGGUUUUAUAAUAGGAAAUAAGUAUUAAAAAAACAUAUUAAAGACAUUUUAUGCUAAUAUGUGUGGGAAGAAUAAUAAAAUAUGAGGGGAGUGGGAGGAGAAACCAAAGUUGUCUCCCCCUUACUCCCCAUUGCCGUGACUAGAGAAAGGGGAGGAAAAGCAAAAUUCUUCCUUUGUUGUUCAACAUGGCCGAAUGGAAGGAAGAAGAAGAGGGGAAGUUCGGCCAAGGUGGUUCUUGAGAUUAAGGUAUGUUCAAUGUUGCUUUUGGAGGUUUACACAUCCUUUGGAGGGUUAGCCUACUUCUAUUUAUCUCAUGGAUGAAAUUAGAGUUGUUGAAGAGUUAGGAUUCGGCUAAGAGGCUUCAAAAUUUUAGUUGAUGCCUUGAUACUACUAGCAUGUUAGCUAUAUGGAUGUGUUAAACUACUUGAAAUGCUAGAUAAAUUUGAACUCCCUACCAAAUUCUUUAGGCAACCCAUGUUAGAAAUUUCGGUAUUGAGAUGUCUAGAUCUUUCGGCCAUUGUAGCUAUGGAGGAAUAAAGUUUUUUGUUUCUUGUUAAAUUGGAUGAAUCUUGUUGUAUGAGUGCUUAAACAAACUAUGAUUAAAUGGAUGCAUAAAUUCAAAGUGGGAAGAAAUGGGCUAUUAUAUUUGAUGCUAAUGCCGAAUAUGAAGAUGAUGAACUUGAAUAAAUAAUAUUCAGCUAGCAUGAUAAGUUAUGAAAUAUUAAGUAGAUGAUAUAAUUGAUUGAUGAAGUGGCUAAUAAGGAUUUCUAAUGAAAUUGUUGCCAAGGCCGAAUGUAUCAUGAAGUAAAUUUGUUUGAUUUAGCUCAAGAGCCUAGAGGAUCAAAGUUGGAUAAGGGAAAGGAAAAAAGUGAUCGAAGAGCCGUCGUAAUCGUUCGGCAACUUCCGAGGUAAGUUUUAAGUGUUUAAACGUUGAGUAAAUUCAAUUAUAAUAGGACAUGAUGAGCUGAUUUAAUAAGAUAUGAUGUGGCCAUGAUAUGUUCUAAGCUCAAAUGGUAAGUUCUUAAGUGUUCGAGCUUGGGAAUUUAAAGGUAAUUUGAAAUAGUCUGCUUUGGACAGCAGCAGUAACGUGACUUUAGAAAAUCACCAUAAAUUUAUGGACUUGAAUUAGAGGCUGAAUGAGACAUGAAAUUAAAUCUUAAUGAGUCUAGUUUCUUAUAAAAGAAACCGUGUAAGCAAAGGAAUUUCCAAUAAUGAGAUAUUUAAAGUUGUGUGAGACGGUGUUAGAAUGACUCCGAAAUCCCCUGUUCUGUUUUUAGAAAAUCAUUAUAAAUUGUACAAAAAUGGUUAUAAGAUAAAAUUUAUAUGCUUAGACUCCUUAAUGAGUCUAGUUUCAAAUAAAAUCAAAUACAACACAUUUUUAAUUCUGUAAAAUGAGAAAUUUGAUUCGUAGUGAAGAGUGGUCAGAGUAGUCAAACAGUAGAACAGGGGAAACUUUAAGAAAAAUCUGGUAUUGAUUGGCCAAACCUAAAAUUCUGGAAAUUUUAUGGAUGGAAGAUAUAUGAGUCUAUAUUCAGGAAAAAUUAACGGAAAGUGAUUUGGAGUUUUGUAGCUCCAGUUAUAAAUGAUUUAGUGACUAUUGCUCAGGAAAAACAGCUUGUGCUAAAUUUGAGAUUGUGUUGUAAACCUUGAUAAACUUGUUCUAGUUGCUCAUAAGCUAUCGAUUAAAC
Molecule: long non-coding RNA, 6916 nt
Filed under: Gossypium barbadense (sea-island cotton)
Lineage: Eukaryota; Viridiplantae; Streptophyta; Magnoliopsida; Malvales; Malvaceae
Description: long non-coding RNA (GBAR_LNC020977)
Source: RNAcentral